This 392-nucleotide ribosomal RNA is filed under the name uncultured bacterium. RNAcentral's name for it is "partial 16S ribosomal RNA". It matches the Rfam family "Bacterial small subunit ribosomal RNA", at positions 523 to 918 of the family's 1533-position model. The record is from RNAcentral.
AUACGGAGGAUCCGAGCGUUAUCCGGAUUUAUUGGGUUUAAAGGGUGCGCAGGCGGCCAUUUAAGUCAGCGGUUAAAUCGUGGGGCUCAACCCCAUUCUGCCGUUGAUACUGGGUGGCUUGAUUGCGGUCGAGGUUGGCGGAAUUCGUUGUGUAGCGGUGGAAUGCAUAGAUAUGACGAAGAACACCGAUUGCGUAGGCAGCUGACCAGACCGCAAAUGACGCUCAUGCACGAAAGUGCGGGGAUCGAACAGGAUUAGAUAACCUGGUAGUCCGCACAGUAAACGAUGAAUACUUGUUUUCGGCGAUAUAAUGUCGGAGGCAAAGCGAAAGCGAUAAGUAUUCCACCUGGGGAGUACGCCGGCAACGGUGAAACUCAAAGGAAUUGACGGGG